This 472-nucleotide ribosomal RNA is filed under the name uncultured bacterium. Its description in RNAcentral is "bacterial SSU rRNA". It matches the Rfam family "Bacterial small subunit ribosomal RNA", at positions 8 to 470 of the family's 1533-position model. The record is from RNAcentral.
AGAGUUUGAUCAUGGCUCAGAUUGAACGCUGGCGGCAUGCCUUACACAUGCAAGUCGAACGGCAGCGCGAGGAGCUUGCUCCUUGGCGGCGAGUGGCGGACGGGUGAGUAGCGCAUAGGAACGUGUCCGUAGGUGGGGGACAACUCCAAGAAAUUGGGGCUAAUACCGCAUGAUCUCUUAGGAGCAAAGCGGGGGACCCUCGGGCCUCGCGCCUACGGAGCGGCCUAUGUCCGAUUAGCUUGUUGGAGGGGUAACGGCCCACCAAGGCGACGAUCGGUAACUGGUCUGAGAGGAUGGCCAGUCACACCGGAACUGAGACACGGUCCGGACUCCUACGGGAGGCAGCAGUGGGGAAUAUUGGACAAUGGGGGAAACCCUGAUCCAGCAAUGCCGCGUGAGUGAAGAAGGCCUUCGGGUUGUAAAGCUCUUUCGUGGGGGAAGAAAAGGCGCGGGCUAAUACCCUUUGCGCCCA